This 433-nucleotide ribosomal RNA is filed under the name uncultured bacterium. Its description in RNAcentral is "partial 16S ribosomal RNA". It matches the Rfam family "Bacterial small subunit ribosomal RNA", at positions 29 to 507 of the family's 1533-position model. The record is from RNAcentral.
AACGAACGCUGGCAGCAUGCCUAACACAUGCAAGUCGAACGAGACCUUCGGGUCUAGUGGCGCACGGGUGCGUAACGCGUGGGAACCUGCCCUUAGGUUCGGAAUAACUCCCCGAAAGGGGUGCUAAUACCGGAUAAUGUCUUCGGACCAAAGAUUUAUCGCCUUUGGAUGGGCCCGCGUUGGAUUAGCUAGUUGGUAGGGUAAAAGCCUACCAAGGCGACGAUCCAUAGCUGGUCUGAGAGGAUGAUCAGCCACACUGGGACUGAGACACGGCCCAGACUCCUACGGGAGGCAGCAGUGGGGAAUAUUGGACGAUGGGCGAAAGCCUGAUCCAGCACUGCCGCGUGAGUGAUGAAGGCCUUAGGGUUGUAAAGCUCUUUUACCCGGGAUGAUAAUGACAGUACCGGGAGAAUAAGCUCCGGCUAACUCCGUG